RNAcentral lists this ribosomal RNA (163 nucleotides) under Ditangium cerasi. RNAcentral describes it as "partial small subunit ribosomal RNA". It matches the Rfam family "Eukaryotic small subunit ribosomal RNA", at positions 1639 to 1799 of the family's 1831-position model. The record is from RNAcentral. Lineage: Eukaryota; Fungi; Basidiomycota; Agaricomycetes; Sebacinales; Sebacinaceae.
CGUUGAUUACGUCCCUGCCCUUUGUACACACCGCCCGUCGCUACUACCGAUUGAAUGGCUUAGUGAGGUCUUCGGAUUGGCUUUAUGGACCCGGCAACGGGACCGUAUUGCUGAGAAGUUGAUCAAACUUGGUCAUUUAGAGGAAGUAAAAGUCGUAACAAGG